GCUCAAAAGGAAUGAGAAGUAUGAAUCUUAAAAUUGGUGAUUUUGUGUCUUAGUAAUUCGGAGGCAAACUUGCAUCAUAUUUUGUUGGAAGUCAUAUAGAGUUGGGGACAAGCCAACUGGUGUGUGCCUAUUACUUGUUUUAGCUCAAAAUGGGCCUAUCCAUCAGUUCCAAUUGCUAGGACAUAUCCAUAUUAUCUGUUCAUGGCCAUAAAUAGAAUCUGUGCAUGGAUCUCUGUGGUUUCAUCAUUCUUUUUAAGUAGCGUAGAAAAGACAUCCAUUUUUUGUUUUGUCCAUUCGUUCCUAGAAAGGAAAAGAAGUUGGAGGGGAGACGUAGCUGAAGUUACUUCAUUCAAUUGUUUGACAUAAGUUGACUUGCAAAAUAUUUGUUUUAUUUCUUGAGUGAUGGGCUCUUUCUGUGCAUAUUUCACUAUUGUCAAUAAAAAGGCUUGUUAUAUGAUUUAAUGGUCUUACUUGAUACUUGCAUUGCAGAAUGGCUUAUGGAAUACCAUCAAAGUAGACCAGGUUUGAAGGUGUUGCAACAAAGGAUAGAUCAGUUUGUAACUGCUCAUGAGGAAAAACUUGAA
RNAcentral lists this unclassified non-coding RNA (584 nucleotides) under Hevea brasiliensis (rubber tree). Lineage: Eukaryota; Viridiplantae; Streptophyta; Magnoliopsida; Malpighiales; Euphorbiaceae. The record is from RNAcentral.